Molecule: ribosomal RNA, 1101 nt
Filed under: Triticum aestivum (bread wheat)
Lineage: Eukaryota; Viridiplantae; Streptophyta; Magnoliopsida; Poales; Poaceae
Description: partial small subunit ribosomal RNA
Source: RNAcentral
AUGUUCCGGUGCCUCAGGGGCGUCCGGCAGCGCCUCAGCACCGAUCGCCACCACCACCAGCAGGACAACCGCUGCCAUCUCCGACAGCAAGCCAUGAACAAACCCGCGGAGAACAUCAGCGUGGGCUCUUGUGUCUUCCAAUUCAAAGUAGACUAUGAGCGAAGCAAGCAGAUUCCCGUUGGCACGGCCUUCUAUUCCGACAUCGUCUCCGCCGGGGGACACCUGUGGAGGGUUAAGUUCUUCCCGCGUGGGGAGUUAGAGGCCGACCAGGAGUAUGUUUCCAUCUUCCUCGAGCACAUGAGCAAGUCUAGAAGUGUGGAGGUCAUGUUUGAGGUCUUUAUGAUGGGUAGGGACAGCAAGCCAUGUAUGGCACACAGACGAAGGUUCGUUCGAACCUUGGAAAUCAUGGAAGAUAAAGACAGCAGCGACUGCUGGGGAUGGGGUCAGUUCAUCGAGGGAACUAUAUUGGAGGAAGAUUACUUAACAGAGGGGCAUGUCACAUUUGUAUUUUCCAUCAUGAUCAUCGAUGACAACUGUGUUCUUGUCCCUCCUUCAAACAUCGGGACCCAUCUUGGCCGCCUGCUAGAUCACGCUGAUGGGACAGAUGUGUCGUUCAUUGUUGACAAUGAGACAUUCCAUGCUCACCGAGCAGUGCUUGCUGCCCGCUCCCCGGUCUUCAGAGCAGAGCUCUUCGGCCCCAUGUCUGAGGCUACAAUGCCAUCCAUCACGCUGCACGACAUCACACCUGCAACAUUCAAAAUUAUGCUCCGGUUCAUAUACACAGAUGAACUGCCCCUAGAAGACGAGCUUGAGGACUCUUCCACCGAGAUGUUCCAGAACCUGCUUGCUGCGGCCGAUCUGUAUGCACUGGACAGACUGAAGAUUAUUUGCGCCCAGAAGUUGUGGGAUAAAGUGUCGGUAGAUACAGUUGCAACUAUCUUAGCUUGGGCUGAAACCUACAACUGCCAGGAGUUGAAGAACAGGUGCAUUGACUUCUUUGUGGUGGAGGAAAAUUUCAAGAAGGCCAUAUUCACUGAUGGUUAUGCGUUGCUGGUUCUGAAAUUCCCAGAGAUCAUUGCUGACAUAAAAAAGAGGGUUUAG